This 86-nucleotide transfer RNA is filed under the name Desulfovibrio litoralis DSM 11393. It matches the Rfam family "tRNA". Rfam says of the family: Transfer RNA (tRNA) molecules are approximately 80 nucleotides in length. Their secondary structure includes four short double-helical elements and three loops (D, anti-codon, and T loops). Further hydrogen bonds mediate the characteristic L-shaped molecular structure. tRNAs have two regions of fundamental functional importance: the anti-codon, which is responsible for specific mRNA codon recognition, and the 3' end, to which the tRNAs corresponding amino acid is attached (by aminoacyl-tRNA synthetases). tRNAs cope with the degeneracy of the genetic code in two manners: having more than one tRNA (with a specific anti-codon) for a particular amino acid; and 'wobble' base-pairing, i.e. permitting non-standard base-pairing at the 3rd anti-codon position. Lineage: Bacteria; Pseudomonadati; Thermodesulfobacteriota; Desulfovibrionia; Desulfovibrionales; Desulfovibrionaceae. The record is from Rfam by way of RNAcentral.
GCCCGGGUGGUGGAAUUGGUAGACACAAGGGACUUAAAAUCCCUCGGUUGGCAACGACUGUGCCGGUUCAAGUCCGGCCCUGGGCA